UUCAAUUUGUAAUUAAAAGCCUGAGCACACAUUGGGACCCCUCCUCAGGGGUUUUGCCCCUGGGUGUACCCGCUCGGGGACAGCUCCAACUCCAUCCAUCCAUCCCAGCUGAAUUUUGGGAAUUCAGCACGGUGCCCAGCGUGCCCUGGAUGGUGCUGGGGAAGGGGGGUGACCUGGGGACACCCCAGUUCAGGAGCCAGGUGGAGAGCAGGGUGGCUCCUUGAGCAUUCUGGAAUUUUGGCAAUGCCAAACCACCCCAGGAACUCAGGGGAUGCUCCCAGAGGGGCUGUUCCCAUCAGAUUUUACCUGGGGGGAGGAUGUUACCACAUUACCUGGCCCCCAAAAAUCUCCCUCUGUAUUUACCAUGCCCAGGUUUUGCUUGGGGAAUCAGCAAGGAUUGAAAACAAAAAGGAGCUGCUUGAGAUUUAAACCCAACGAGGCUGGAAAGCGAAAAAAAAUCCAGCCUGAAUCCCCAAGUGCUGGAACCAUCAAGAAAAAUCCCGUCUCGGCAGCGCUGCUCCCGUGCGUUCUGCUGAUCUGCCCCGCGGUGUUUGCAGCUCCUCAGCCCAGCAUCCUCCCCAGCAGCAGCAGGGAUGCGACUGGAGCCCGGGAGAUUCCUCGGGAUGGCUGCGGGGAAAGGCAGGAUCGCCCCCCAAACCAACCCCCCCCGGGGCACCAAGCUGGGCUUUGUCACCGAAUUAUUAAUCCGGGAAAAUACUAAAAAUAAAGCACUGGAAGAUGGUGAUGGGCAGUGAGGAAGAAAUCCCAGGUGUUCCUGGUCCAGCCUUGUUUGCACAACUCUGCCCUGUGCCAACACUUCUUUGUCAAGGAUUUCCCUGAACGAAGAAAAGGGGUGAAGGAUGCUGUGGGCAUCCCAGGAAAACACUGGGAAAUUGUCACCCCACUGAACAUUAGAGCACCAUUCCCUACUGCUCCAUCAGCACUUGCUGUAUUUCAAAUUAAUGUUGUUUCUGCAGAGGAACCGAGGUCCUGUUUUACCCCAUCCAAUAAACCCAAUCCUGGCUCACCCCAGAUCCCAUCCUGCUCCAAAGCCCAAGGACAGGUGCCUCCACCUCCAGCCACGAUUUUCUGCAGCACAGGGCACCUGUGCACCUUUCCUGGUGCAAACUCAGCCCUUGUUCUGAAGGGAUUCCCUAAUUUUGGUGCUUUGCAGAGAGGAGUCUCCAAAGUCAGGCAUCCCAGCUAAACAAGCCCCUCCCAGCCAGCUCCCCUGAUUUAUGGAAUCCCAGAAUGGUUUGGGUUGGAAGGGACCUUAAAGAUCAUCUCAUUCCAACCCCUGCCAUGGGCAGGGAUACCUUCCACUAUCCCAGGCUGCUCCAGCCUGGCCUUGGACAUUCCCAGGGAUCCAGGAGCAGCCACAGCCCCUCUGGGAAUUCCAUCCCAGCCAGGAAUUCUUUCCCAAAAUCCCACCCAAAUUCCCUUUUCCCAGUUUCAAACCACUCCCUGAGUCCUGGAAUUCCAUCCCUCAUCCCAAAUCCUCUCCAGCUCUCCUGGAGCCCCUUUAGACUCUGAGGUUUCCCUGGAAUUUCUCUUCUCCAACCUUUCCUUGGACUUUCCAGGCCAUUUACACCCCAAAAUUCUCCCAUUUACAUCCCAAAUCCUCCCAUUGCACGUGGCAGCACGUCCCACAUCCCCCUGAUUGCCACAGACCCUCAGCACACACUUGGAGCAACUUGUUUUAUGCCACCAGUGCUUAGAAAGAUGCUGCCCUGAAGGAAAGAAGGAUUUGGGCAGUCAGAGCAGGAAUUCAGGGCUCUGCCCAGUCCCUGUGUUCUGGGGAGCCUGGAGGUCCCCAGUGCUUACCCUGACACCAUCUGCUUGGCUCAUCACCCCCAAACCAAAAAUCU
Molecule: long non-coding RNA, 1868 nt
Filed under: Ficedula albicollis (Collared flycatcher)
Lineage: Eukaryota; Metazoa; Chordata; Aves; Passeriformes; Muscicapidae
Description: lncRNA (ENSFALG00000027546.1)
Source: RNAcentral